This 309-nucleotide long non-coding RNA is filed under the name Mus spicilegus (steppe mouse). Its description in RNAcentral is "lncRNA (ENSMSIG00000009403.1)". Lineage: Eukaryota; Metazoa; Chordata; Mammalia; Rodentia; Muridae. The record is from RNAcentral.
CUGCCAUUGUCCUGGGCUAGAUGUGGCCCUGGAGCUAUUUAUCACCAAUCUGUACAGAGAAGCAAGAAGUCUGCAUGUCAUAGGUUUGGAAAUUUGACUUUGCCAUAAGAUCCAAGUUCAAGGUCCAAGCUGAAAUGAAAUCAAUUAUGAGAACAAAUAGCCCUGUUUUAUCACUGAUGAAUGGAUUUUGCACUGUUUUCCAUAUUCCUGCCACUUGAAAUGGAAGGCGCAGAGCACGCGAGAAAAAUCAAUGGAGCUAACAUCCUCGUUAGUUUUAGUUUCUACCGAAGCAGUCUCGUGUCACCGUAG